AAAACACUUGAUUCUGUGCAAAAAGAUGGCCUAUCAAGUUCCAAGGGUACACGAAUCAUGAUCUAGGUAUCUCUAUGUUAGAAGUUAACAACAGUUCCUGAUUGUACCCAACCUAUAUCAGCUAUACAUACAACGUUAGAAUAAUUUAUAGCAUGAGUUUAUCUAUUUCCAUGGCACAUUUGGCAUGCCCUGUGGAUUGCUGCUACAGCCUCCAGUGCUCUGGUUAGGAGGGCUUACAGGCCCACCAGAUGAUUCACUAAAAGUUCCACGGGAUGUGGGGCUUCCUGCUACUGAUGCACCUAGAGCAUACAAGGUUUCAGGUUGGUUAAUCCCCAGACUUGAUUCUUUCCAAUCUUCUGAGAUAAAACUACCUACAAUAACCUGUAAACAGAACCAAACACUAAUGCAUCAACCAUACAAAGUCUAUAAAUGGUAGCAAGGGCAGGAAGAAUACAUAUAACAGUGGAGAGGGUCAAUCAAAAUACUGAGAAAAAAGGCAAAGGGAAGAAAUAAAAAGGAUCAAUUUCCAUUUAAUAAUUAGUUAGCAAUGUAAAAUCAUAUGGAGAAAUCCCAAAACUCUCUGCUUGUGCAAUCUCUAUAUGACAAACUGAUAGUCACGGUUACAUCCAGCACAAAAGAAAUAAUGAGGACCAGAAGAUAAAGAACCUGAACAGAAGAUGCUGCUAUGAGGAGCCCUGCCACUCCACCAAGAACACGACCAUCAGGCCCAGCUAGUAAAACACUUAAACAACCUGUUCUGCUGCGCUGGCCACUACUCUCUGAAGGGAGAAAUGAACCAGAUAGUGACAAAAUCUCAAAUCGUCCCUCAUAUGAUACGGCUCCACCUAAUGUUGCAGCUUGAUGAAGUGUUACAUUAGAUAAAGCACCAUUUGCUGACAAAAUGCAGACACCUCUGAGGCCAUUUUGGGAGAAUGACAUUAUUUUCAAUAACACAUCCUCUCCAGCCUUCACCGUUAUAACAUGUGGUGCAAAUCCAACUCCUGAUCCAAGAGUGGCAAGUUGGUUUUUGCGGCCCGAGCCAGGAGGUCUGCCUCUUGCUUUCUUUGCAGUGGAUGAUGGCGAAGGAGGAGACUGGAAUCCAGAAUGGUGAAGAAGAGGAGACUGGUGGGGUUCAUGGUGCUGGUGGUGGUGGGACAGCGGAGAUGUGAGGUUGAGGCUGACAUUACCAUGGGGUGGAGAGUAUUUCCUUGGCCGCCCGCGUUUCCUCUUCAUUGGCUCCGCAGUAUUCAUGUUAAGUCCAUCAACACUGACAUCGACGCCGAUCCCGCCACAACCCAUUAGCAUCAUCUCAUGGUGGUGCGGUGGGAUUGAUUGAAGAUGAUGAAGUGUAUCAUCGGUAGUAAUAGGCAUGAUGGGCUGGUAAACUGGAGUAGCCUCAUCUGCUCUGAAUGCCAAGUUCAUAUUUGAUGAUGGGGUUAUGGUUGGGCUCUGAUUCCUUUCACCGCCUCCUCCGUACGAUUCUCUUCCUGACAUUUUUCUUGGAUCCCAAUCAUCAUCUACUUAAUCAGUGUAUACUUCUAAAACCCUAACAAAUCGACCCCUACUUUCUUUAAAACCUCAUUUCCAAUUUUCAAUCCAAAUUUCCAUUCUAUUGGGUGUUUCUCGAAACCGAUUCAAAAGCUCAAAUCUUAACUUUCUGCAAUUGUUUCCAAAUCCCAGACAUUUUUCUGAUAAAAUUUUCUGAAAAUUUUUAAACCGACCUCAUUUAUUUUUGUUAAAUUCCGCUGUGAAAUUAAAGUUCCAAAAUUUCUGAUAAGACUUUUUUAUUUGAUUAUUGAAUAUAAAAUAGAGCAAUAAUUUUUUAUUCAAAAAAAAAAAUCUUUUCUGUUUUUCGAUAAUCUUCAAAAAUUAAAAGAAUAAGAAAAUCAAUUCCAUAAAAGAAAAAUGCUUACCAAAAGGAAAAUGGAUUUUGUAGAUGAACAAGGUCGAUGCAAGCUUCGAAGCGCCAAGGAAAAAUAACUAAGAAAUUAGGGUUUUCGUAAUUUUUUUUUAUUUUUAAUUUUCUUGUUUUUUUUCCGGCUUUAUUUUUAUUUUCGUUUUUAAAAAGGAGGCUGAUUAACAAUGUCCAGCAAAUACCGAAGCGAUCUCACGCCACCCUCCAAUGCUGUAAAAACUCCCCAAGAACUGAAAAUUGGAGAAUCAACCAAUGUCAAGUAAAAAAUGGGUUUGUUCCUUUACUUUGUUUUCUAUGGUUAACUUUUUAUUUGUUGUGUUUUUACUUUUGUUUUUCU
RNAcentral lists this unclassified non-coding RNA (2252 nucleotides) under Hevea brasiliensis (rubber tree). The record is from RNAcentral. Lineage: Eukaryota; Viridiplantae; Streptophyta; Magnoliopsida; Malpighiales; Euphorbiaceae.